UAUCCGAAGACGUGAUGCGGACCGAAUUAAGAGUAGGGAAGUGUGUGAGCCAUGCGUCAAGAAAAGCCGCUAUUGUUUUACUUAAGCCCGUACCGUAAACCGACACAGGUGGAUGAGGAGAGAAUCCUAAGGCCGACGGGAGAAGCAUUGUUAAGGAACUCGGCAAAAUGACUCCGUAACUUCGGGAGAAGGAGUGCCAGCGAGAGCUGGCCGCAGAGAAUUGGCCCAAGCAACUGUUUAGCAAAAACACAGGUCUAUGCAAAACCGUAAGGUGAAGUAUAUGGGCUGACGCCUGCCCGGUGCUGGAAGGUUAAGAGGAGAGGUUAGCGGUAACGCGAAGCUUUGAAUUUAAGCCCCAGUAAACGGCGGCCGUAACGAUAACGGUCCUAAGGUAGCGAAAUUCCUUGUCGGGUAAGUUCCGACCCGCACGAAAGGCGUAAUGAUUUGGGCACUGUCUCAACAAUGCACCCGGUGAAAUUGAAAUACCAGUGAAGAUGCUGGUUACCUGCGCCAGGACGGAAAGACCCCAUGGAGCUUUACUCCAGCUUGAUACUGGGAUUCGGUAUUGCAUGUACAGGAUAGGUGGGAGGCUAGGAAGUGAUAACGCCAGUUGUCACGGAGCCGCUGUUGGGAUACCACCCUUGCAGUAUUGGAUUUCUAACCAGCGACCAUGAACUGGUCGGGGGACAAUGUCAGGUGGGGAGUUUGACUGGGGCGGUCGCCUCCGAAAGGGUAUCGGAGGCGCUCAAAGGUUCCCUCAGAAUGGACGGAAACCAUUCGAAGAGUGCAAAGGCAGAAGGGAGCUUGACUGCGACACCGACGGGUGGAGCAGGUACGAAAGUAGGACUUAGUGAUCCGGUGUAUAAAGUGGGAUUGCCAUCGCUCAACGGAUAAAAGCUACCCUGGGAUAACAGGCUUAUCACUCCCAAGAGUUCACAUCGACGGAGUGGUUUGGCACCUCGAUGUCGGCUCAUCGCAUCCUGGGGCUGAAGUAGGUCCCAAGGGUUGGGCUGUUCGCCCAUUAAAGCGGUACGCGAGCUGGGUUCAGAACGUCGUGAGACAGUUCGGUCCCUAUCCGGCGUGGGCGUAGGAUAUUUGAGAGGAGCUGUCCUUAGUACGAGAGGACCGGGAUGGACUGGCCGCUGGUGUAUCUGUUGCAUACCAAAUGCAUGGCAGAGUAGCCAAGCCGGGACGGGAUAAACGCUGAAGGCAUCUAAGCGUGAAGCCCCCCUCAAGAUGAGAUAUCCCUACGUAAGUAGUAAGACCCCUUGAAGACGACGAGGUAGAUAGGUCAGAGGUGGAAGUACAGUAAUGUAUGGAGCUGACUGAUACUAAUCGGUCGAGGGCAUGACC
RNAcentral lists this ribosomal RNA (1353 nucleotides) under metagenome. RNAcentral describes it as "bacterial LSU rRNA". It matches the Rfam family "Bacterial large subunit ribosomal RNA", at positions 1552 to 2925 of the family's 2925-position model. The record is from RNAcentral.